RNAcentral lists this ribosomal RNA (205 nucleotides) under uncultured bacterium. RNAcentral describes it as "partial 16S ribosomal RNA". It matches the Rfam family "Bacterial small subunit ribosomal RNA", at positions 1296 to 1500 of the family's 1533-position model. The record is from RNAcentral.
AAUUGCAGGCUGCAACUCGCCUGCAUGAAGUCGGAAUUGCUAGUAAUCGCAGAUCAGCAUGCUGCGGUGAAUACGUUCCCGGGCCUUGUACACACCGCCCGUCACACCAUGGGAGUCGGUAACACCCGAAGUCGGUAGCCUAACCGUAAGGAGGGCGCCGCCGAAGGUGGGAUUGAUGACUGGGGUGAAGUCGUAACAAGGUACC